CAAAGUCCAGAAUGUUUUCAUUGACAAAGCACCAGCUAAAACACAGAAUACCAAUGACUCUUAGACUCAUUCCCGGGCCUCCGGCUGACCACGGGAAAGGGGAUCUUCAGGAGCGGGUGUCUCAUGGCUGGGAAGAGGACGGCACAGGAGGGCUGGGGAACCCGAAUUGCAGCCUGAAUGGCCAGUGUCCUUUCUCCAGAAUGCAGUUCUCCCUUGCUCAGAAGAAAUGAGUCUGCCAGUGGGUACAACAUGAGAUGAUACUUCCACCCCCAUUGGUGACAGCCCUCACCUAGCUAUCAAGACAGUGUUCGACUUCCUUCACUCCUUCCAGGGGCCAGCAUGUGGCUGGCCACUGUCCACCCUCAGGGGUUGUGAACUGAAUUAAAGGGUUGCGUCCUUCAUCCAUUUUCUUUGCUGAACUGUCUUGAAUUUUACCCUAAGUUCAAAAUGAAGCAGACCAUAGCUGAGUUUAAAGGAGAUCCGAUUGACAUUGGGAAGUGGCACCCAAUAAGAUGGCUGUUUCUUCCGCCUGCUCCAGGGCUCGCCAACAGGAGAACUGAAAGCUGAAGCAUCUCAACCUGCAGAUACAUCUCAAAGGCCCCUUCAGCCGAUGUCCUCAGUGCCCUUGACACAGCCCCUUGGCACUUGCCUUCCACACACAUGCUGCUGCACCAGUUUCCUCCUGGUAGCAUCUUCCUUUCCGCCUGAGGAUUUCCCAGGCAUCCUGCCUCCAAGAAAGUCAGAAGUCAGUGCCUUCCUGAGAGCCGGUGAGAGCUCCGUCUCCCUUGGGCAAGUGGUGCUGAUGCCUGUUCCCUGCAUCCAUCUCUCAGAAGCCACAGCAGAACUGAGCUCCAGGGGCCACUGCGAUACACCUUCGCAAUGGUGACCACAAGAAUCCACUCAGCCUUGGAAGCUGUCCUUGAAACUCACCCUGAAAUCCCUGCCUAGCAGACAGGAGACCUCAGGCUGGACUCCACUCACUAUGUUAUCUCGGCCUCCCCGGGACUCUUAGGACACGACUUUCUUAAUCUUUCCAAGGGGCUAAGCUUAACCAAAAGGAAAUACUGCAUAAGAUGUGUGAAUACUUCAAGAUCUGUGGAAUAUGAAGCUGAAAACAGCUCUGUGUUUAGAAAUGGUUACCGUGCAUGUGUCUGUUUCCCCGAACUAGCACCAGAGCCUCGGUUUGAGGGUCUGUAUUUGAUCCUUUUCUCCUUAGAAAAGAGAGACCUUGUUGAAGGAAUGUUCUUUUUCCAGAGGAAAUUUGGGAAACAAAACGGUCACCUUAAAAACAGCAGCACAAGAAAGUUUGUCCUUAAAUUUAAAUUUUCUUUCAAGCCAGGAAUUAAAGCAAAGGUGGGAGUGGAAGAAUCUCUUCAGAUUGUAACUCUUGAAAUUUCCAGGCUAAGGGAAGUCACUGUGGGAGCAUUCGAGCAGAUUGGUGGUCACCACUGGGGAUUCUAGGAAAGACACGUUUCUUCAUGUUUUUAAUCUCAUCCUUUAAUUCCAAUUUCGGUGUAUGUUAUAUGUUUUGUAAGGUAUUCUAACAUUAAAUACGUGUUAUAUGAAUACAGUGUAUGUUCAUGAAUAUUUCCUUCAGUUUUAUAUUUGAGUUGUUUUGGCCUUUUGACUUGUGAAUAAUGCUGCUGUGAACAGCAUGUGCAUGUAUUUGUUGGAGUCUCUGUUUUCAGUUCUUUAGGGCGUAUACCUAGAAGUCUCUAGGUCAUAUGGUAAUCCUAUGUCAAUUUUUUUGAGGUAUUGCCAAGCCGUUCCCCACAACAGCUGCACCAUUUUACUUUCCUACCAGCCAUUGUAAAAGGGUUUCAGCUUCUCCGCAUCCUUGUCAACACUUAUAUCCCUUAAAACAACAACAGCAAUGAACUCACGGUCAUCCUAGUGGAUGUGAAAUGUUGUGUCAUUGUGGUGUUUAUUUGCAUUUUCCAAGAGUCAUCUUUGUCCACAUGUCCUUUGAAUUGAACUUCAAGGACAAGGAUAUGCACCCUCUGGUGUUGGUUGAGAAUGAUUUGUGGGUCCUUCCACAGUCCCCUCUGGUAUCUC
This 2055-nucleotide long non-coding RNA is filed under the name Homo sapiens (human). RNAcentral's name for it is "HSALNT0265490". The record is from RNAcentral. Lineage: Eukaryota; Metazoa; Chordata; Mammalia; Primates; Hominidae.